GACGAACGCUGGCGGCGUGCUUAACACAUGCAAGUCGAACGAAGAGCGAUGGAAGCUUGCUUCUAUCAAUCUUAGUGGCGAACGGGUGAGUAACGCGUAAUCAACCUGCCCUUCAGAGGGGGACAACAGUUGGAAACGACUGCUAAUACCGCAUACGACCUAAUCUCGGCAUCGAGGAUAGAUGAAAGGUGGCCUCUACAUGUAAGCUAUCACUGAAGGAGGGGAUUGCGUCUGAUUGGCUAGUUGGAGGGGUAACGGCCCACCAGGGCGAGGAUCAGUAGCCGAACGCAGAGGAUGACCGGCCGCAUUGGGGCUGAGACACGGCCCAGGCUCCUACGGGAGGGAGCAGUGGGAAUCUUGCGGAAUGGGCGGGAGUCUGACGGAACAAGGCCGCGUGAGUGAUGACGGCCUUCGGGUUGUGAAGCUCUGUUUAUCGGGACGAAAGGCCUUCUUGCGGAUAGUGAGAAGGAUUGACGGUACCGGAAUAGAAAGCCACGGCUAACUACGUG
RNAcentral lists this ribosomal RNA (509 nucleotides) under uncultured bacterium. RNAcentral describes it as "partial 16S ribosomal RNA". It matches the Rfam family "Bacterial small subunit ribosomal RNA", at positions 28 to 507 of the family's 1533-position model. The record is from RNAcentral.